Molecule: RNA transcript, 521 nt
Organism: Aedes aegypti (yellow fever mosquito)
Lineage: Eukaryota; Metazoa; Arthropoda; Insecta; Diptera; Culicidae
Gene name: protein stunted
Exons: 5
Source: RefSeq, a predicted model, not a curated record
CUAAUGAAUGAGUAGAAGUUUUUCAACGGCCGAGUGGAAUUGCGGCGAAACAAAAUCGAGCGAAAUAGAAAGUGGCAAAAAAACGUGCAGAAUCCAACUACCAAACGUCACAUUCAUUCAUUUGGUGUGCGAUCGCUUGCGGCAGACAUCCCCUAGUUUCCAUUACGUACGUCGGAUCGAAUAAUACCGCUCGAAAAUGACUGCCUGGAGAGCCGCUGGUUUGAACUACAUCAACUACUCCAACAUUGCUGCCCGUCUGGUCCGCAAGGCUCUGAAGCCGGAACAGCGAGCUCAAGCCGUUCGGCGAGACGAGUCCCACAUCAAGUUCACCAAAUGGGUCAACGGAAAGCCAGAAAAUGAAAAGUAAACUGCCACCCCUAAUUUUAUCUCUCUUGGGGAUAUAUGGUUAACAAGUAGGGAUUAGGCUGGUGAAGUUGUUUAGAUUCGGAAUUAGGUCGUCUGUAUCUGAUUCGGUUCAAUGUUAAUAAAAAGUCAAGAUUCUACGAUGAAGAAAAGGUAAA